AGUGUUUCAUCCCUUCACCUGUUCCCACUUCCCCAAUCAGCCUUGCCUCUGCCUGGUCUCUCCCCCACCUGCACCUCGUUCAGUAAUCAACCUGGUCUAUAUGUACUACUUCCCUUCUUUCCUUUGUGUUUCCUUGAAGUUGCCUUGUUCCUCUGCUUAUGGGUUUUUCAUGUGGGAUAUUUCUAGAGUUCCCGAUUCCUGUGUGUGUUUUUUGCCUCCCAGUGUUCCAGCUAUCUUACCCAUCUGCAUGGGUACCGUUUUAUUCACAGGAUAAAGACACCUUGUGCCCUGUCUGCGUAACAGGAAAUGACUUCACACAGUAAGGUAGGGGCUUUAUUCAUUUAAUUUAUUAAGAUGCUACAUAGUCCAACCAGGUUGGGUUGUUUUUAUACACCAGAGAGACUACUUGACUAGGAAUAUUAAUCAUCUUCUCAGAUAGACUUAUUUAUUUAUUUAUAUACAUACAAAACAGUUUCCCGACUGCUUAUAUUGAUCACGGUGAUGGUCAGAGACUCCAGGACAGAUCAGUGUAGUGUGUUUUACAACUUGGGCCUGGAUCCAUUAGUAUUUACAUAGAAUUAUUUUUGUUUGUUUCAUCCUGCUUUGAGUACCGACAUUGCCAAGGUUUACUGCAUCAGUUAAUUAAUGUUAACAGCAUAAUCUGGUACUUGGCAAAGUAUUUUUCCUUUUGCAAAAUGUUCUGAUACUCCAACCAGGAUUCACUGAACAAGAAGAAUUUUCUGUAAGUACUAUGUGACCCAGGCCUGAAAACCCAAGAUGGGACUGUAGCUCAGGUCCGCUCUGCCCUCCCUCUAAGCAGCAAGUCAUCCUCAACCCAACAGCUUUACAGAGAUACAGUAGAAACACACACUCAUGUUUAUUUUAAUCUCUUACCCGCCAGCCAAACUUAUCAUCUUCCACUCUGCUUAACAUGAAAAGAUGGUGGAUUUUUGUAUUUUUCUUUUUCUAGCAAAGCGGAAAACACUCCUGCUUACUAAUCUUAUGAGGAUAAAAAUGUAACCAAUUGCUCUUUUUCCCCUCAAAUGAUGUAAAGUAGAAUGAAUGACACUCUCCACUGCUUUUUCCCCCUAAAUAUGCAAAUUUGGAGAUGAAGCAAUUUGUUUUUCUUUUGUUUAUUUUUGACACAAAAAUAACCAUUGGCUCUGGAACAGUACAAUGUCAUCAUGUGGUCCCCUCAAGGCUAUAGCUAGGCUGUAUGUUUUUUUUUUUUUUUUUCCCCCCCUCUUUUUUUUGAUUUAAAAAAAAAAAAAAAAGGUUGUAUGCUGCAGGAAGAUCAAAGGAGAAACACUCUUAACCUUAGUGCAUUAAAAUUGAACACAACUUCAAAUGCAGUGAGGAUAUAACGUUAAUAAGCAUUGGAUAAAUGCUGAACAAACACCAAAAACUGAACAAAGGCCUGAAGUGGAGUGAAAGAAAAACAGAAAAAAGAACCAGCAAUAAUGACCAGACCAGCAGUGGAGAACUGCAGCAGCUAGCUUAAAACACUCAGCUGAUCUCUGACAUACAUUUGCCCAAAUAAAACAGAAUGUCAACAAAUGUAUGGCUCAGUAAGAAAAUAUG
This is a long non-coding RNA of Lates calcarifer (barramundi perch), 1581 nucleotides long. RefSeq lists it as uncharacterized. NCBI's taxonomy places the organism in Eukaryota, Metazoa, Chordata, Actinopteri, Centropomidae. The record is from RefSeq and is a predicted model, not a curated record. The transcript has 2 exons.